CUAAGGAGCACAUCUCCACAAUGCUUCACACAGGUGAAUGUGAUUGUGGCAGAGACCGUUUCGGAAGCAAUCGUCUUCCGGCGGAAGCUCAUGGGUGGAACACUGACAACCUCACCCGCAUCAUGGUCCCGGCCAAUGUCCGGUGCCGCGGUUGAUAUAUCGACACACUGUUGGGUCCUGAAAGAACAGACGUUCUUUCCAGGCAAAAAAUACGACGAGGCUGAUCUUCAGUCAUACCGGCUUCUUCCUUCGGGUUGGGGUGCUGGUGCUGGGUUUAGGGUUGGUCUUGUGUGUUGUUUGAGAACUGCACAGUGGACGCGAGCAUCUUUGUUAGUAAGUGUGUAAGAGCGUAC
RNAcentral lists this unclassified non-coding RNA (353 nucleotides) under Nocardia cyriacigeorgica. RNAcentral describes it as "16S-23S ribosomal RNA intergenic spacer". The record is from RNAcentral. Lineage: Bacteria; Bacillati; Actinomycetota; Actinomycetes; Mycobacteriales; Nocardiaceae.